AGAGUUUGAUCAUGGCUCAGGACGAACGCUGGCGGCGUGCUUAACACAUGCAAGUCACGGGGGCCCGCAAGGGCAACCGGCGAACGGGUGCGUAACACGUGAGCAACCUGCCUUUGUGUGGGGGAUAGCCGGGCUAACGCCCGGGUAAUACCGCAUACGGUCACCGGGAGGAGUCUCCUGGUGAAGAAACCUCCGGGGCACGAAGAGGGGCUCGCGGCCUAUCAGCUAGUUGGCGGGGUAAUGGCCCACCAAGGCGACGACGGGUAGCUGGUCUGAGAGGAUGGCCAGCCACAUUGGGACUGAGAGACGGCCCAGACUCCUACGGGAGGCAGCAGUGGGGAAUCUUGCGCAAUGGCCGAAAGGCUGACGCAGCGACGCCGCGUGUGGGAGGACGCCUUUCGGGGUGUAAACCACUGUUGCCCGGGACGAACAUCCCUUUUCGAGGGGACUGACGGUACCGGGUGAGGAAGCACCGGCUAACUCCGUGCCAGCAGCCGCGGUAAUACGGAGGGUGCGAGCGUUGUCCGGAAUCAUUGGGCGUAAAGGGCGCGUAGGUGGCGGGACAAGCGUGCGGUGAAAGCCUGGGGCUCAACCCCGGGUCGGCCGUGCGAACUGUUUUGCUUGAGCACUGUAGAGGCAGGCGGAAUUCCGGGUGUAGCGGUGGAAUGCAGAGAUCCGGAAGAACACCGGUGGCGAAGGCGGCCUGCUGGGCAGUAGCUGACACUGAGGCGCGACAGCGUGGGGAGCAAACAGGAUUAGAUACCCUAGUAGUCC
RNAcentral lists this ribosomal RNA (774 nucleotides) under uncultured bacterium. Its description in RNAcentral is "bacterial SSU rRNA". It matches the Rfam family "Bacterial small subunit ribosomal RNA", at positions 8 to 796 of the family's 1533-position model. The record is from RNAcentral.